Non-coding RNA from Pantherophis guttatus, 1468 nucleotides. Lineage: Eukaryota; Metazoa; Chordata; Lepidosauria; Squamata; Colubridae. The record is from RefSeq and is a predicted model, not a curated record.
GAAGCGGAAUGGGAUACUGGGGGGGGGAGGUAUCCGGGCAGGUGAAGCUGGGCAGAGGAAACCGAACUCCCUGGCCGCCUGAGGAGAUUGCCGCUGUGUGACUGCAAACGGGGGGUCUGCAGGAGGAGAAGGCAGACAGACAGAGCGAGGGAGCCGCAGGGUUGCCUGGACUUGAGCUGGGACAGGAGUUGCUGGGGAGCGGCCCUGGCAAACUCGCCUUUGGCUUUGCAGCUGCUUUCCGAGUUCCGAAGUCAGCCCGCCGCCCGCCUCUAAACCUCGCGCCCAAAAGGCGGGGAAGUCAGCCUGGAGCCCCGAGGCAGAACGCCAGGCGCUUGCCCGCCCUCUGUGUGGACCUCGACAAGAGGUUGGGGGACAGAAACGGCCACCUUAAGCUGCCUCCCCCCCCCCCCAAAAAAUACGUUUUUUUAAAAAAAAAAAUAUGUUACAUAAAUUCCUUGUGUUUCGAAGUGCGGUGGGUUUUAUACUGCCGCGACAGGAUUUGCAGGCCUGGACUAGGGCCAUGAAGGGGCUGACUUAAGUUAUGGCGAUUUCUUUAUUGCAGAUCUCAAGUUUGUUCGGAUUUGCUUAUUAGGGUUAUUUUUUUUUUUUAAAGCUAGAUAUGGAGCUAGAUAGAGAAAAGGAGGUCAGUCGCAUCCCACCUCUAUUCCCCACCCCACCCACACACCCCACUUUGCUUCAACUGAAAACUUUCAAACUGCUUCCUUGGCUCCUGCGCAGAUUCCAAUAAAGAGCACCAUGCAAAAAGCCAGCUACUAAUUUUGCAACAGCCUACUGUGAUUUAGAAUGCAUGGCUAAAGCAACGUUUGACUUGGUGUAUCAGGAAUUGCAACCCAAGAUGUUUGGAGAGUGCCGAAAUAAUCUCUUGGAACUUAUCUAUCCCUGGAGACAUUGACUCUCAGCAGGUAGCAGCACCUGGCUGACCUUGUCUGAGGCACCAUGGGUUCCUGCUUGGAUGGGAGACUAACCAGGGAGUAACAAAUUUGUGGGCCAGCCUGGAAAGUCCAGAAACAUCUUGAAGUGGACCAUGGCAAGCUGUUUCCAUUGCUUUACAAAGAAAACUGCAUGACUAUGUCCAUGAAGUUACUUUGGAAUUAAGCUCAUUUUGAAAAAAGACUACUUUUAUUGAUGUUUUGUGGAAAAUGUAAUUGAGAUUACUCUGAAUUGUGUUCAGUAAUGUGCAGUGUAUUUGUGGACUGCAUGCUUCAAGUUACUGCAUGAUUUUUUUUUCGCCCUGAGAUGACUUUAUAAAUAAACAGUGACCUGUGCUGAAGAACUUACUUCCUUAUUCCUGUUCAGAAAGUAAAUAGAAUAAGCAGAGUUAUUUACACUUGCCACAAUUUUCCCUGCACCUUCACUUCUUUUUUUUUCUUUUUCUUUUAACUAAUAAGUUUUCUUACAUGGUUCAUAAAAAAAAGCCCCACUUGAUUUAAUAAAGAAAUUAAACUAG